AAGAUCACAAACUUCGAUGCGUCUAUCAAAAUCGUCUUCGGACAUCCCUUGGACCAAAUGAAGUUUAAAGCUCCGCCAUUCUUAAUUAGAGCAAAGAAGAAUUAAUCAGAAACAAUUUUUGGGACUGUUCGUUUUCGUCCACGAGGUGACUGCUGCUCGUUAAGAAGAACACAGCACUGCAUCAAAGAUUCAAAUCAGUGAUCCGCAUUGUUUGCUCAAGAGCUUGUAUUACUAUUGGUGCCUGCGAGAGUGAGACAAUAAAGAUCAGCCCCGCCAACGCUUUCGGGCAGAUUCCUUCUAACGUCUUCAGACA
Harpegnathos saltator (Jerdon's jumping ant) is the source of this 313-nucleotide long non-coding RNA. RefSeq lists it as uncharacterized. The record is from RefSeq and is a predicted model, not a curated record. The transcript has 3 exons. Lineage: Eukaryota; Metazoa; Arthropoda; Insecta; Hymenoptera; Formicidae.